Molecule: long non-coding RNA, 274 nt
Organism: Telopea speciosissima
Lineage: Eukaryota; Viridiplantae; Streptophyta; Magnoliopsida; Proteales; Proteaceae
Exons: 2
Source: RefSeq, a predicted model, not a curated record
AUGGUGGGAAAGAACUAAAAAAGAGGGAGAAAAGAAAGGAAAGAGGAAUCGUGGGGGAGAGAGGAGAGAGACAAUAGAUUACAAAAUAAACCAACUUCUAUUCCAUAAUUCCAAAUCGUGGGAGGUCUAGCCUCUUACAUGUAUUUAUAAAAAGGGAAAAAAACAUAAAAUAGAAGUCUAACUAACCUAAGCUUCCUACUUGACUCAAACAAUUAAGUAUAAAAGAAAUAACAACUUAAAUAGAUAAAGAACCCCUUCCAUACAUAGACUCUUU